UGAUGAUGAAGCUUGAAGAAGGGAGAAGGGCUGGGAGAAAUAUGGAACAGCUGGGACAGGCCGGAGAGAAAGAACAAAGUUGCAGUGACCCCGAUUCAGCUCAGGACCCGCUUAGAGAGUCACCUGGGACACAUCGAUGUCAGCACAUACAGCCCGGAAACCAGAGCUGCCGAAAGCUCUUCCUUCUCUCUCUUCCUUAAUAGACGGACUGCUCUUCUUUUAAAGCUUAUGUCCAAACGAGCAUAGUAAGUUUUGUGUAAAUCAUUUGGAAUUUCAACCCCAACAAUUACAGACCAUAUAACUU
This 304-nucleotide long non-coding RNA is filed under the name Ailuropoda melanoleuca (giant panda). RNAcentral describes it as "lncRNA (ENSAMEG00000027974.1)". Lineage: Eukaryota; Metazoa; Chordata; Mammalia; Carnivora; Ursidae. The record is from RNAcentral.